Molecule: ribosomal RNA, 266 nt
Filed under: uncultured marine eukaryote
Lineage: Eukaryota
Description: partial 18S ribosomal RNA
Rfam family: Eukaryotic small subunit ribosomal RNA (bases 98-266)
Source: RNAcentral
GGAUUUCGGAAUGGGCCAGUUGGUCCGCCUCACGGUGUGUUACUGGCUGGUCUGUUCUUCUUCGCAGAGACUGCGUGUGCUCUUUACUGAGUGUGCGUGGGAUUUACGACGUUUACUUCGAAAAAAUUAGAGUGUUCAAAGCAGGCUUUCGCUUGAAUACAUGAGCAUGGAAUAAUGGAAUAGGACUUUGGUCUUAUUUUGUUGGUUUCUGAGACCGAAGUAAUGAUUAAGAGGGACAGUUGGGGGCAUUCGUAUUUCGUUGUCAG